UACAGAGGUCCCAAGCGUUGUUCGGAUUCACUGGGCGUAAAGGGUGCGUAGGCGGUCGGGUAAGUCUGAUGUGAAAUCCCACAGCUUAACUGUGAAACUGCAUUGGAUACUAUCCGGCUCGAGGAAUGGAGGGGAGACUGGAAUACUUGGUGUAGCAGUGAAAUGCGUAGAUAUCAAGUGGAACACCAGUGGCGAAGGCGAGUCUCUGGACAUUUCCUGACGCUGAGGCACGAAAGCCAGGGGAGCAAACGGG
This 253-nucleotide ribosomal RNA is filed under the name uncultured bacterium. RNAcentral's name for it is "partial 16S ribosomal RNA". It matches the Rfam family "Bacterial small subunit ribosomal RNA", at positions 524 to 776 of the family's 1533-position model. The record is from RNAcentral.